CAGCCGCCGCGGUAAUACCAGCUCUCCUAGUGGUAGGGACAAUUAUUGGGCUUAAAGCGUCCGUAGCCAGCCCCUCAAGUCUCUGUUAAAUCCAACGAUUCAAUCGCUGGACUGCUGGAGAUACUGUAGGGGUAGGGGGCGGGAGAAGCCGACGGUAUUCUUGGGGUAGGGGUAAAAUCCUAUAAUCCCGGGAAGACCACCAGUGGCGUAGGCGGUCGGGUAGCACGCGCCUGACGGUGAGGGACGAAAGCUGGGGGAGCGAACCGGAUUAGAUACCCGGGUAGUCCCAGCAGUAAACGAUGCGGGCUAGGUGUUGGAGCGGCUACGAGUUGCUUCAGUGCCGCAGGGAAGCCAUUAAGCCCGCCGCCUGGGGAGUACGGCCGCAAGGCUGAAACUUAAAGGAAUUGGCGGGGGAGCAC
This 419-nucleotide ribosomal RNA is filed under the name uncultured archaeon. RNAcentral's name for it is "bacterial SSU rRNA". It matches the Rfam family "Archaeal small subunit ribosomal RNA", at positions 459 to 879 of the family's 1478-position model. The record is from RNAcentral.